This 460-nucleotide ribosomal RNA is filed under the name uncultured bacterium. RNAcentral describes it as "partial 16S ribosomal RNA". It matches the Rfam family "Bacterial small subunit ribosomal RNA", at positions 338 to 795 of the family's 1533-position model. The record is from RNAcentral.
CCUACGGGAGGCAGCAGUGAGGAAUAUUGGUCAAUGGACGAGAGUCUGAACCAGCCAAGUAGCGUGAAGGAUGACUGCCCUAUGGGUUGUAAACUUCUUUUAUAUGGGAAUAAACUGUUCCACGUGUGGGCUUUUGUAUGUACCAUAUGAAUAAGGAUCGGCUAACUCCGUGCCAGCAGCCGCGGUAAUACGGAGGAUCCGAGCGUUAUCCGGAUUUAUUGGGUUUAAAGGGAGCGUAGGUGGAUUGUUAAGUCAGUUGUGAAAGUUUGCGGCUCAACCGGAAAAUUGCAGUUGAAACUGGCAGUCUUGAGUACAGUAGAGGUGGGCGGAAUUCGUGGUGUAGCGGUGAAAUGCUUAGAUAUCACGAAGAACUCCGAUUGCGAAGGCAGCUCACUGGACUGCAACUGACACUGAGGCUCGAAAGUGUGGGUAUCAAACAGGAUUAGAUACCCCAGUAGUC